CAAUAGCGUAUAUUAAAGUUGUUGCGGUUAAAAGCUCGUAGUUGGAUUUCUGCUGAGGACGACCGGUCCGCCCUCUGGGUGAGUAUCUGGCUUGGCCUUGGCAUCUUCUUGGAGAACGUAGCUGCACUUGACUGUGUGGUGCGGUAUCCAGGACUUUUACUUUUUGAGGAAAAUUAGAGUGUUUCAAGCAGGCACACGCCUUGAAUACAUUAGCAUGGAAUAAUAAGAUAGGACCUCGGUUCUAUUUUGUUGGUUUCUAGAGCUGAGGUAAAUGAUUAAAUAGGGAUAGUUGGGGGGCAUUCGUAUUUAACUGUCAGAGGUGAAAAUUCUUGGAUUUGUUAAAAGACGGACUACUGCGAAAAGC
This 364-nucleotide ribosomal RNA is filed under the name uncultured eukaryote. RNAcentral's name for it is "SSU rRNA". It matches the Rfam family "Eukaryotic small subunit ribosomal RNA", at positions 592 to 952 of the family's 1831-position model. The record is from RNAcentral.